Molecule: ribosomal RNA, 224 nt
Filed under: uncultured bacterium
Lineage: Bacteria
Description: partial 16S ribosomal RNA
Rfam family: Bacterial small subunit ribosomal RNA
Source: RNAcentral
UAAAAGCGAUCUCAGUUCGGACUGCAGGCUGCAACUCGCCUGCACGAAGUUGGAAUUGCUAGUAAUCGUGGAUCAGCAUGCCACGGUGAAUACGUUCCCGGGUCUUGUACACACCGCCCGUCACACCAUGGGAGCCGGUAAUACCCGAAGUCAGUAGUCUAACCGCAAGGAGGACGCUGCCGAAGGUAGGAUUGGCGACUGGGGUGAAGUCGUAACAAGGUAUC